AAAAAACAAAUUAAAAUCGAGAAAAACAUCUCCGGUGAAUAAUGUCUUCAAAAUUCCUCAUUUGCAAUCCUAUUAUGAGCAUUAAAAAUGUUAAAACCUUAAGGCAUAUUAAUCACAUGACGUAAGUGAAUUGUAAAAAAAAUGCAUUACCUCAUUCUGACAAUAUCCAACAUCACUCUCCACAUGGUUUUAAAGGGCUUCAAGUCGGCAACCGAGUUAAACAAUGC
This 227-nucleotide long non-coding RNA is filed under the name Brassica napus (rape). Its description in RNAcentral is "long non-coding RNA (BNAP_LNC001826)". Lineage: Eukaryota; Viridiplantae; Streptophyta; Magnoliopsida; Brassicales; Brassicaceae. The record is from RNAcentral.